This is a long non-coding RNA of Canis lupus familiaris (dog), 2430 nucleotides long. RefSeq lists it as uncharacterized. The record is from RefSeq and is a predicted model, not a curated record. The transcript has 2 exons. NCBI's taxonomy places the organism in Eukaryota, Metazoa, Chordata, Mammalia, Carnivora, Canidae.
CCAAAGCAAUCAAAACUGAGCACUCCUCCUGGAGGCGUACUUUUGUCCUGGGGGCUCAGAUUUACUAUCCAUUUCUCUUCUUCUCCCUUGUCAAGUUGCAGACACCCAUACAGAUCCAGGAUGUCCAGGAGCUUUCUCUUCAACACCCCUACCCUGAGAAAUUUUUUUUUUUUUAAGAUUUCACCUUUCUAUUCAUGAGAAACACAGAGAAAGGCAGAGACAUAGGCAGAGGGAGAAGCAGGCUCCCUGCAGGGAGCCCGAUGUGGGACUUGAUCCCAGGACCUGAGCACGGAACUGAUCAUCAUCACCUGAGCCAAAGGCAGACACUCAACCACUGAGCCAUUCAGGCAUCCCUGAGGAAUCUUCUUAUUACUGAGAGUCUACUAUGUCCUCUUAUCCCAUGCUGCAAGCUGAGUUCUCCAGAAGCAGAUGCUGAGAUGGAGUUUCAGGUGCAAGAUGUUUAGGACAGAUUGACACUGCAAAGAAAAGGGGAAGGAAGCAGAAUUGGGCAAAGAAAGAAGUCGAACAGUGAUGGAGUUCUCAAGGAAACCUCAGCCAACUCAAGCAGGAAGAAGUGGAAUGAAUUGUGCAACAACAGAGUUGUCUUGCUUUGAGCUGAAUGGCGGAGUCUUUAUAUUGUCACAUGUCUCAUUCUCCAGUAGCCAGUUGAGAGUUGUGAGUCUAAGAGUGGCUCACGACCAGAGGCAAUGCAGCUCGCCUCAGCUGAGUCAAGUUCUGGAGGAGCUUACAUUAAGAGGCUACUGACAGCCCUUUCCAAAUCUGGGUAGCAAGUCUGUCCUUGAAGGCGGGGUCUGGGUGGUGCAUCCCCCUGUUUACCACAUCCUAUUUUCCUACAACCUCCUUUUAUUCUCUUUUGUAUAAGGCUGUCAUGAUCCCAUCCCUUCUUAUCUAUUUCCCGGUUCAAGGCAUGGAUCACAUUUACAACAUAGGUUAUGUAGUUCUGAAGACUGGGUGAGGUUCCCUUCAUACAGUCGUGAAUCUACCUGACUCCAAACUACUUGGCACCUGUUUUUACUCUCUCUUGACUCUAGGUUUGACACAAAGAAAGGGAGGGAGGGCUGAACCAUUUAGUUCAAUUUCUUUUACUUUAUGGCAGAGAAAAGUAUUCUCCAAACUGUCAGUGUUACUGAGAUUUUUAAAGCCCAAUUAAUUUUGUAUGAGCAAUGGUGUGUAAAUACUGAAAGUUUGAUCUAUUCUCUAGUUUCCUUCUAUUGAGAUUUCUGAGAAUGCCAGAAAUGCAUCCACAGUCCACAAACCUCUUCUGGUAGUCUCCUGUCACUUUCUGCUCUGGACCGGUGUGCCAAGACCUCUGCUGGCACAUUCUGGAUUGACAUGACAGCUUUUCCAAGCUUUGCACCCCUCCAUGCACCUCUGUAUCACAUGAAGAAAAAUCUCCUUUUAUUUCCUAAAUUACAAGGAGUAUCAGACCCUACUUAGAGCAAAACUUGUAGAGGUUUGCACAUAAUGAAAGGUGAACAUUUAAAAUUAGAUAUUAGAUGUCACUGUGACCAGAGUCCUUUGACCACAGAUUAUCCUGAUGGCCUUCUCUCUCCUUGUCCCGGUGCUGCCGCCUCCUGCCAUUUUUUCCCUGAAAUAUUUGAGAAUAAAUUACAGACAUGCUAGUCCUUCACCUCUAAUAGGUAGGUGUUUCCUAAAAAUAAGGACAUUCACAGUACAAUAAUAAAAAUCAGAAGUUAACGCUGAUACAAUGUAAUCAUCUAACCUACAGACCUUAUUUGAAUUUUAUCCAUAGUCCAAUAAAUAUCUGCAUGGCAAAAGAAAAAAAUUUCUGGUCUAGGAUUUAAUCUAGGAUUACAUGUUCUGUUUAGUUUGCAUGUUUUUAAGUCUCCUUUACUCUGGAACCAUUCUCCAGACUUUGUCUUUGAUGACCUUGUCACUGUCGAAGAGGAUAGAGAAGAUCUUUCCUAACUAAUUUCAUGAAACUAAUAUAACCUAUACUAGUAUGACUAGUAUAACUCUCCAAGCAAUUGGAGAGGUAAAAUAUGAAAAGACAAUUGUAGAUCAUCAUCACUCAUAUCUAGAUGAAAAUUUUGGCAAACCAAAUCCAUCAACAUGUAAAAUAAUACAUAAUUUAAGCCUACCCAGGAUGGCUUAAAUUAGGAAUUUACCAUUGAUUCUAGCAUUAGAAAAUCAGUGUAAUUUGUGACAGAUUAAAGAAUCAAAAGAGAAAAAUCAUAUGAUCAUCCAAAUAGAUGAUGAAAUAGCUUUUGAUAAAGUUCGGUACUCCUUCAGUAGACACAAGUGAAUUUUCGCCCACAUGAAUAUUAUGUCUUUGCAGCUUUAGGUUUAUUUGAUGUUUCCCUACAAGCAAAAUUGUUAACUUUAAAUCCAUUGUUUAUCUGAGGAAGAGAUGUACACAUAUACAAAUAAAGCAUAAAGUACCCAGAA